AACUCAGUUGAUGAACACUGUUUAUUAACAGUGAUUUUACGCUUUAGCCCCUGUAUUGCUGUUUGUUUGCCCUUUUAUUUUUCAAUCUUAACAGUAAAAUGGCAGUUUUAUCCCUGUGGUACACGUGUGGGUAUAAUGGUCCUUGAGUUCCAGCUGUCGUUAUCCCUUUUCGAAAGCAUAAGGCCACGUGUUGGUCAUCGCGGUAAGCUUUUCUAUUGCUUCCAGUACAGAUCUCUCGAUCUCUCCAGCUCUCUCUCAAGAACCAAAAAUCUCUUCAGUCCUCUCUCAUUUCCAGCGUCCACCACCACCACUCAGACGUCCCCAAAGGUAGAUUUCUUUUCUCUUCCUUAGAUUCGGAAUCUUGAAAAUCCUCGCCGAUAUCGUUUGAUUUCUGCACAGCUAUCGGCCAACCAAGCUCGCCCAUUUGGGCUUCCACGCCCACCCAACAAAACCCCCAUUAACAUUCACAACAAUCUACAGAGGGGUUAUGGACACCACCAUCGUGGGUCGUCUUAGAAUCCGAGCAGAAAAACUCAGAAGUUUAAAAAACGAAAAAAAGACAAAAACCCUCGAUUGAAUCGGAUACUGGUAUGGUCCCUUACAGGAGGAAAAAACAUCAUUUUUCUUGCUUGAAAUUUUAGUUUUUGUUAAUUUUUUUCACAGAUUGUAGUUUUUCUUUGUUGCAUUUGUCAGUUGCCCUCAACAAUGAACCACUUGCUAAACGUAAUGUUUGUUUAUUUGGGCAUGUUUAGAGGUUUUGCUUCACUGUUUUUGUCAUGAGCGCAAACGAGUCUGAUGGCGUCCACUAAAAGUCUGCAACUUGAACGCAUACGGGCAGAAAACAAGUAGAGAUAAUGUGUGAUUCUGAUGAAGGGAUUAACAAGUUACCAGAUGAGGUUGUCGAGAAGGCUGCUUCGAUUUCAAUACUCAUCCUGUUCUCCUCUUGCAAGUUUUGGUUCCAUCAGCACUAGGCGGGUCAUAAAGUGAAUCCUCUGCGAAUUCUGUUGUCUCCAGGUAGGAUUUGUAUAUCCAUGUACCUUGGGAAGACCUGGCUCUAAAACCAACGGAGCACUCCUUGAGUUCCAACCAACAUAUCCUCGCACCGGUACGUCAGCCAUUAUGCCCAUAAAGAUUACGUUUUUAUUUUUCAUUUUUGCGUUACAGAGGAAGUAGAAAUACAUGGGAGAAAUCUAGAAGAAGAAAUCUAAUAGGACUGCACAAAAUGAAGGGAAUACAAAUACUGGAUUUGAGGUGUAAGACGAGGAAUUGGGGACAGAAGAAUUUGGUAUAGUGUUUCUAAGAAACGACCAAAUGCGUAUUCCUCACUCACAUAAAAACUUUGAACUUAUAUAAUUAGUGUUGAUUUACACGUGUGCUAAACAUAAUUUAUAACUUUUUCUUACGUAUUAAUCAGUUUGAGCAUGAUUGAACUGAUUGGUUUGAGUUUGAGUGGCAACUUGGAUUCAUAUAGGCUGUAAAGUUUAGGAGCUUUUUUUGCUUAAAUAAGGCAAUACUAUUCCAACUUAUUUUCAUUGUUA
This is a long non-coding RNA of Pyrus x bretschneideri (Chinese white pear), 1538 nucleotides long. RefSeq lists it as uncharacterized. The transcript has 6 exons. Lineage: Eukaryota; Viridiplantae; Streptophyta; Magnoliopsida; Rosales; Rosaceae. The record is from RefSeq and is a predicted model, not a curated record.